UACGGAGGAUGCGAGCGUUGUCCGGAUUUACUGGGCGUAAAGGGAGCGUAGGCGGACUUUUAAGUGAGAUGUGAAAUACCCGGGCUCAACUUGGGUGCUGCAUUUCAAACUGGAAGUCUAGAGUGCAGGAGAGGAGAAUGGAAUUCCUAGUGUAGCGGUGAAAUGCGUAGAGAUUAGGAAGAACACCAGUGGCGAAGGCGAUUCUCUGGACUGUAACUGACGCUGAGACUCGAAAGCGUGGGGAGCAAACAGGAUUAGAUA
Molecule: ribosomal RNA, 261 nt
Filed under: uncultured prokaryote
Description: partial 16S ribosomal RNA
Rfam family: Bacterial small subunit ribosomal RNA
Source: RNAcentral